RNAcentral lists this ribosomal RNA (376 nucleotides) under uncultured bacterium. RNAcentral describes it as "bacterial SSU rRNA". It matches the Rfam family "Bacterial small subunit ribosomal RNA", at positions 524 to 898 of the family's 1533-position model. The record is from RNAcentral.
UACGUAGGGGGCGAGCGUUGUCCGGAAUUACUGGGCGUAAAGGGCGUGUAGGCGGUUUUGUAAGUCAGGUGUGAAACCUGUGGGCUCAACCCAUAGCAUGCACUUGAAACUGCAGGACUUGAGGGUAGGAGAGGAAAGUGGAAUUCCUAGUGUAGCGGAGAAAUGCGUAGAUAUUAGGAGGAACACCAGUGGCGAAGGCGACUUUCUGGCCUAACCCUGACGCUGAGGCGCGAAAGCGUGGGGAGCAAACAGGAUUAGAUACCCUGGUUGUCCACGCCGUAAACGAUGGGUACUAGGUGUAGGAGGUAUCGACCCCUUCUGUGCCGCAGUAAACGCAUUAAGUACCCCGCCUGGGGAGUACGGCCGCAAGGCUGAA